UUAAAACACCGAUUCUCGUACGAUCACCGAAGUUAAGCAACGUCGAACUCGGUCAGUGCUUAGAUGGGUAAUAGCUUGGGAAUACCAGCUGCUGUG
Molecule: non-coding RNA, 96 nt
Organism: Acanthosepion pharaonis
Lineage: Eukaryota; Metazoa; Mollusca; Cephalopoda; Sepiida; Sepiidae
Source: the annotation of a GenBank genome assembly